Molecule: transfer RNA, 73 nt
Filed under: Cricetulus griseus (Chinese hamster)
Lineage: Eukaryota; Metazoa; Chordata; Mammalia; Rodentia; Cricetidae
Rfam family: tRNA
About the family: Transfer RNA (tRNA) molecules are approximately 80 nucleotides in length. Their secondary structure includes four short double-helical elements and three loops (D, anti-codon, and T loops). Further hydrogen bonds mediate the characteristic L-shaped molecular structure. tRNAs have two regions of fundamental functional importance: the anti-codon, which is responsible for specific mRNA codon recognition, and the 3' end, to which the tRNAs corresponding amino acid is attached (by aminoacyl-tRNA synthetases). tRNAs cope with the degeneracy of the genetic code in two manners: having more than one tRNA (with a specific anti-codon) for a particular amino acid; and 'wobble' base-pairing, i.e. permitting non-standard base-pairing at the 3rd anti-codon position.
Source: Rfam by way of RNAcentral
GGAGAGAUGGCUCAGUGGUUAAGAGCACUGGCUGUUCUGCCAAGGGACCUGGGUUCAAUUCCCAGCACCUUCC